AGGACGAACGCUGGCGGCGUGCUUAACACAUGCAAGUCACGGGGGCCCGCAAGGGCAACCGGCGAACGGGUGCGUAACACGUGAGCAACCUGCCGAUCUGUGGGGAUAGCCGGGCUAACGCCCGGGUAAUACCGCAUACGGUUGCCGAGGGGAGUCCCUUGGCAAAGAAACCUCCGGGGCAGAUCGAGGGGCUCGCGGCCUAUCAGCUAGUUGGGGGGUAAUGGCCCACCAAGGCGACGACGGGUAGCUGGU
Molecule: ribosomal RNA, 252 nt
Filed under: uncultured bacterium
Lineage: Bacteria
Description: partial small subunit ribosomal RNA
Rfam family: Bacterial small subunit ribosomal RNA
Source: RNAcentral